UGGAUUUACCCUCGUUAGA
RNAcentral lists this transfer RNA (19 nucleotides) under Carinigera chelidromia chelidromia. RNAcentral's name for it is "Isabellaria chelidromia chelidromia partial tRNA-Met". The record is from RNAcentral. Lineage: Eukaryota; Metazoa; Mollusca; Gastropoda; Stylommatophora; Clausiliidae.